UGAGGAACAUGACCUUCGGCGGGGGAUAGCCGGCCCAACGGCCGGGUAAUACCGCGUACGACCACAUGGGGACAUCCCUGAGUGGUGAAAGCAGCAAUGCGCCGAUGGAGUGCCUCGCGGCCUAUCAGCUAGUUGGUGAGGUAACGGCUCACCAAGGCGUCGACGGGUAGCCGGCCUGAGAGGGUGACCCGGCCACACUGGGACUGAGACACGGCCCAGACUCCGUACGGGAGG
This 234-nucleotide ribosomal RNA is filed under the name uncultured bacterium. Its description in RNAcentral is "partial 16S ribosomal RNA". It matches the Rfam family "Bacterial small subunit ribosomal RNA", at positions 118 to 348 of the family's 1533-position model. The record is from RNAcentral.